AAAAAAAAAAAAACUCACCCUGAACGCACCCGAUUUCGUCUGAUCUUAGAAGCUAAGCAGGGUCAGGCCUGGCUAGUACUUGCAAGGGGUCUACUGCCAUAACACCCUAAAAAAAAAGUCUAGUGACCUCUUUUC
Molecule: ribosomal RNA, 135 nt
Filed under: Saimiri boliviensis boliviensis (Bolivian squirrel monkey)
Lineage: Eukaryota; Metazoa; Chordata; Mammalia; Primates; Cebidae
Source: RNAcentral